UCUUCCACCGCCCGAAGUGGCUUUUAUAGAGGAGCUGGUCAACCACGUUCGGCGGCCAAACAUGCAGGCGAACCAUGCAAUGUUCGGAAGCCGAACUUUUCUUUCGGAAGCCGAACCUCAAGCACUUUCGGCGGCCGAACAUCACCUUCGGCGGCCGAAACUGCAUUUUGUCUCCUUCGCCGUUUUCUCUUCAAAACUCAAAAUCCUUUUUGCUAAACCUUUUGAAAACCUUUGCUUAAACCCUUACUGGCAACUCCAACAUCCGAAAUUCCACCGGACUACAGGAAUUUCGAUGCCUGAGUAAGCCGGGUAUUACA
RNAcentral lists this long non-coding RNA (317 nucleotides) under Manihot esculenta (cassava). Its description in RNAcentral is "long non-coding RNA (MESC_LNC009181)". Lineage: Eukaryota; Viridiplantae; Streptophyta; Magnoliopsida; Malpighiales; Euphorbiaceae. The record is from RNAcentral.